ACUUGUGCCCAGAGUUUGAUUUUCCACAGACCAGGUAGAGGCCAAGAGCCUCUCACAGACUCUGCAGCAGGGUUGCUAUGAUUAACUCUUAAGUACUCCACAACUACACGCUUUUGAAACUGGCGUUGGCAUAGCGUUAGUUCUGUGCAGGGCGGACGCAGCAGGACAGAAUCUCCCUGGGCAUCUUUUCGGAGCAUCAAUUUUACUGCAAAAUUUUGAAAAAACAAAUUUAAUUGAUUUCCAAGGUUUGUCAAGGAGGACAGAAACUCAGAGCACCCUGCACUUGGGGAUCGGCACUAGGAGCUGCUCUCUGGAUGGGGAGAUGGGAGCUAGCAGCUCACAAUGGGGUCACAAGACAGGAGUGUUAUUGGGAGAAUCCUGUUUUGUUGACAAAUACUGAGAUCAUCCAACUCACCAGGCAAAGUUGACUUGUGUAAGUGAUCUUCAGAUAUGAAAAGUGUGGAACCCAGCUGCUCCUCCUCAGAUAGGCGACAUGACAAUUGUAGGCCUGGAGGGAGAUGAGUUGACAACAUCCCUUCCCUAUAACCACUUGUUGGAUCUGAUCUCACAUACACAGACUCACUCCAAAGACUGACCUGGGUGUCUGCUUCUCAGCUUCAUUAACAGUGGGUGCUCACAAGUCUAGUGGAGAGAAUGUCUGAGAAGAGGAGGACCUUGACUGCUCCUGAACCGGAGACCUCAGAACCAUGGUGCUCUCCUGUCCAGGCUGAACACUAAUGCUCUUGAGAGUCACAUUGAAGAAAGCCAACAUUUUUAAAUCUAAUGGAUACAUUCAUUUUGUGGUAUGUGAUGUUUAGAAAGAGGGAGCUAAAGUUAGUGGUCAUGAGCUAAAUACCCUGUGAGUGCUGGAGGCUGAGAACUUCAAGAUCAAAGUACUGGAAGAUUUACUGUCUGUAGUAACAGGAUCUUCUACACUGUAGCUGCUUCCAGUGUGAGCCAGACAAAUGUACUGAAUAUAGGUAAGUACUGCUCAGUUUUCUCCAUGAGCUUCAUCCUCAGGGCCACGUUUCUUAUUCUGACAACACUUAGGGAUGCUUUCCUGGUAGGAAUACUGCUGUUCUUAAUUGCAUACAUGGUGACUCUCUUAUUCAGGCCUCAGAGGUGAUCCCACCACCUUCACAGCAAUGGUCCUUCCCCAGGAGCUUCCCCUGAGAAACGGGCCAUCCAGACCAUACUGCUGCUGAAUAAUGUCUCAUUGGAAAUCUCAACAUUCUUCAUUUAGAACACCACCGCCAAUAUCUACCAUAUGCCGGGAUUAUUGUGCAGGGUAAUUUUUAUUAUUACUUGAAUGUAUAUUUAUAUACUGCAGGAACUAUACAUGUUUAUGGCUAGAAUUACUGUUUUUCCUUAAUAUUAAGAUAGUAUUGGUAGAUUUAAUUAUCUGAAUUUAGUCAUUUGGCUCCAGUCAAAAUGGUUUCUCCUUAGCAGUACUCUGACUUUGUAAAAGUAAUCACAUUUGGAUUCUGUUUCCUCCAGUAGUUUUUAAAAUGAUUUUUUUGAUUAUUCAUAUAACUUUUUUUUAAUGAUCUUUUAAAAACUAGUAUGUGGUUAUAUAUUACUUGUUACACUUUUUGUUUUCUUUAUUUUUUGGUUGGUUACACCUUAAAUGAUUAUUUCUAUUGCCUUUUAAUGUUACUUAGAAAAUAUCACAUGUAAGACUUUUGCUUUUAUAAAGUUAGUAAUACAUUUUCAAGCCUAAACUCUUGAAAUUUUAAUAAUUUCUAUGAUAUUUGAAAAUUAUUUUUAUCUUCUUUUGAGUGCUAAAAGAUAAUAUUUGUCUACCUGAUUAACUAGCACAACUUUUAAAAAGUUAUUUAGCACUCUUUAUAUUCAUUCAUUUGUUUU
This 1866-nucleotide long non-coding RNA is filed under the name Homo sapiens (human). RNAcentral describes it as "HSALNT0341077". Lineage: Eukaryota; Metazoa; Chordata; Mammalia; Primates; Hominidae. The record is from RNAcentral.